RNAcentral lists this long non-coding RNA (206 nucleotides) under Elaeis guineensis (African oil palm). RNAcentral's name for it is "long non-coding RNA (EGUI_LNC059645)". The record is from RNAcentral. Lineage: Eukaryota; Viridiplantae; Streptophyta; Magnoliopsida; Arecales; Arecaceae.
GUAUCUCAAUUUGAAGGUGAUGAUUCAGUUGAUAAUAUAUUAGAAAUCAUUUUCUAAUUAUCAUCCUGCUUUGGCCAAAGUCUUUCAGAAUCACCGUCCUAUGAGAUCACAUAGGAUGUACGCUCUCUUUAUUAGGAGUGAUUAAUCUCUUAUUUAUCACUCAUAACCUCCAUGCACACUUCACCAUAUCUAGAAUACCUCACACA